Molecule: long non-coding RNA, 1138 nt
Organism: Ctenopharyngodon idella (grass carp)
Lineage: Eukaryota; Metazoa; Chordata; Actinopteri; Cypriniformes; Xenocyprididae
Exons: 3
Source: RefSeq, a predicted model, not a curated record
CAACUUUGCAUGUCAAUUUUGAAAAUGGAGCUUGAGGUACUGUGACGUAAAGAGGACAAGAGAAAGGGCCUUCGGGGCACUCACUGCUAUACUUCCUCCAGCAGAGGAAUGGGAGGAUGAAUUUCAGUCCAGAGAGAGAAGAGAGCAAUUAAAUGGAGUUAGACUCCAGGGCCCUGCCCAUUUGACAGCAGUACGUCAUUCCAGAUCACUUCUGCCAUCUGCCUACCUGCAUACUUCAUCAUAUUGUGUUUUGCUGAAAGUCCAUAUAUAGAUCACAUAAAAAAACUUUUUAAAGAAUGUAAUACAUUAUGUAUGCAAGAUAGUAGGGGAGUAAAUUGGAAACUUUUUCAUGAUGUGAUCCGACAUAGAUUCCCUUAGCCAGUGAUACAAUAUUUGCCGAUAACACAAAACAUACCAUGAUACGAUUAGCAUUCGGUUAGAUUAAGGGGAAUAUCAAUCAAAAUUUUGAUAUUAUGUACAACCGUCAGGGGUUGCUUGUCUUAAAUACAAUACAGAGAUGUGUGAGGCAGAAUGAAGGAUUAGAGACUAUUUAACCCUCUGGGGUCUGAGGAUUUUUGGGGCCCUAGAGAAGUUUUGACAUGCCCUGACAUUUGUGCUUUUUUCAGUUGUUCAUAAACAUAUUAAUGACAAAAGUGUCAUUACACUGUAUUCAGCACAAACUAGGCUACAAUAAUAUGUGAAGAACAUGUAUGUACAUGUUUGUAUUUUUUGAAGGAAUAACGUUUAUGCGUGGUUAUUGAAAAAACAAAAAAACUUAAGUCACUGAAAUAAGGACAAAAAAAAAAAAAAAAAAAAAUUAAUCUGUGUUCACACGACUUCUUGGUACUGUAGGUCGUAAACUAGAGUUUUUCCUUCAAAAUGAUGUAAAAAAUUAUCCUGCCUACUCAUUCAUAUAAAACAAUAGAGAGAUUUAAAUUUUCUAAGACACUUUUUGUCAAGAAACACAGUAUGCGUGAAGGCGUGAAUCAUCAUGAAUAAUGCUGUAAUUCACACCUGAGAUGACAAAAGAUCUGCAUAAUGACCUCUAAUGACCUGCAUAUUAAUGAGCUCUUUCAGUCAGGUAGGCUGUGAAAAAACCCUCUGUGAUCAUGCUGAUAACAGGAUUAAUGUCCACUCU